GCUGGCAUGGUGGUGGGUGUUGUGCUGGGCUCCCUUGGGGUUCUUUGCCUAGCUGUUGGUAUGUUUGUCGGGUUUCUGAAGAUGCGUCGAUGUGUUAUCCACGCAAGCUUCCCCAACCCACCCAGUGUUCCACAAGACGACAGGCACUGAGGAGGACGGGAGCGAGCGGCUGCAUGCACACCUGAACGGGACGACAUUAUAUUCGUCCCACAGGAGUAUGACUACAGCGAAGAAAGCCCAGAAUAAAGUGUUUAGUGACAAUGAUGAUUCAGAACUACUAACACCAAAGGGUUUGGAGUGAACGUGAAAGACAUACAACAGACACCAGACUGCUACUGCUGGUGUUGCCAAACGAACAAGAAGAGGAGGAGGAGGAAGAAGAAGAUGGUGAUUCUUAGAGAGGUGCCAAUGAAGUUCUGAAGGUUGGCCACAAAUCUUCAUCACUAGUGUAGUGUAUUUCAUUGACCAUUUGUAGAGUGGGUGGAUAGAUUUGUAGAUUUUGUAGACAGCUAUCGUUUAUGC
Long non-coding RNA from Portunus trituberculatus (swimming crab), 522 nucleotides. RefSeq lists it as uncharacterized. The transcript has 3 exons. The record is from RefSeq and is a predicted model, not a curated record. NCBI's taxonomy places the organism in Eukaryota, Metazoa, Arthropoda, Malacostraca, Decapoda, Portunidae.